RNAcentral lists this ribosomal RNA (429 nucleotides) under Chloroflexota bacterium. Its description in RNAcentral is "Chloroflexi bacterium partial 16S ribosomal RNA". It matches the Rfam family "Bacterial small subunit ribosomal RNA", at positions 355 to 776 of the family's 1533-position model. Lineage: Bacteria; Bacillati; Chloroflexota. The record is from RNAcentral.
UGGGGAAUAUUGCACAAUGGGCGCAAGCCUGAUGCAGCCAUGCCGCGUGUGUGAAGAAGGCCUUCGGGUUGUAAAGCACUUUCAGCGGGGAGGAAGGCGGUGAGGUUAAUAACCUUGGCGAUUGACGUUACCCGCAGAAGAAGCACCGGCUAACUCCGUGCCAGCAGCCGCGGUAAUACGGAGGGUGCAAGCGUUAAUCGGAAUUACUGGGCGUAAAGCGCACGCAGGCGGUCUGUCAAGUCGGAUGUGAAAUCCCCGGGCUCAACCUGGGAACUGCAUUCGAAACUGGCAGGCUAGAGUCUUGUAGAGGGGGGUAGAAUUCCAGGUGUAGCGGUGAAAUGCGUAGAGAUGUGGAGGAAUACCGGUGGCGAAGGCGGCCCCCUGGACGAAGACUGACGCUCAGGUGCGAAAGCGUGGGGAGCAAACAGG